RNAcentral lists this ribosomal RNA (428 nucleotides) under uncultured bacterium. Its description in RNAcentral is "bacterial SSU rRNA". It matches the Rfam family "Bacterial small subunit ribosomal RNA", at positions 355 to 775 of the family's 1533-position model. The record is from RNAcentral.
UCGAGAAUUUUUCACAAUGGGGGAAACCCUGAUGGAGCGACGCCGCGUGGAGGAUGAAGGCCUUCGGGUUGUAAACUCCUGUCAUUGGUGAACAAGAUCUGCCGGGUAACUCCGUGCAGGUUUGCUAGUAGCCGAAGAGGAAGGGACGGCUAACUCUGUGCCAGCAGCCGCGGUAAUACAGAGGUCCCAAGCGUUGUUCGGAUUUAUUGGGCGUAAAGGGUGCGUAGGCGGCGGAGUAAGUUGGGUGUGAAAUCCCGAGGCUCAACCUCGGAAUUGCAUUCAAUACUGCUUCGCUAGAGUACUGGAGAGGAGGCUGGAAUUUACGGUGUAGCAGUGAAAUGCGUAGAUAUCGUAAGGAAGGCCGGUGGCGAAAGCGAGCCUCUGGACAGUUACUGACGCUGAGGCACGAAGGCCAGGGGAGCAAACGG